This 301-nucleotide ribosomal RNA is filed under the name uncultured bacterium. RNAcentral's name for it is "partial 16S ribosomal RNA". It matches the Rfam family "Bacterial small subunit ribosomal RNA", at positions 509 to 807 of the family's 1533-position model. The record is from RNAcentral.
CAGUCGCCGCGGGAAUACGAAGGGUGCAAGCGUUAAUCGGAAUUACUGGGCGUAAAGCGUGCGCAGGCGGUUAUGCAAGACAGAUGUGAAAUCCCCGGGCUCAACCUGGGAACUGCAUUUGUGACUGCAUGGCUAGAGUACGGUAGAGGGGGAUGGAAUUCCGCGUGUAGCAGUGAAAUGCGUAGAUAUGCGGAGGAACACCGAUGGCGAAGGCAAUCCCCUGGACCUGUACUGACGCUCAUGCACGAAAGCGUGGGGAGCAAACAGGAUUAGAUACCCCUGUAGUCCCUGUCUCUUAUAC